RNAcentral lists this transfer RNA (114 nucleotides) under Citrobacter farmeri GTC 1319. RNAcentral describes it as "tRNA-Arg". The stretch from base 1 to 72 matches the Rfam family "tRNA". From Rfam's summary of the family: Transfer RNA (tRNA) molecules are approximately 80 nucleotides in length. Lineage: Bacteria; Pseudomonadati; Pseudomonadota; Gammaproteobacteria; Enterobacterales; Enterobacteriaceae. The record is from RNAcentral.
GUCCCCUUAGUUAAAUGGAUAUAACGAGCCCCUCCUAAGGGCUAGUUGCAGGUUCGAUUCCUGCAGGGGACACCAUCCCGCCGAACACCAACGUCCAUCCAUCCCUAUAACAAA